RNAcentral lists this ribosomal RNA (253 nucleotides) under uncultured bacterium. RNAcentral's name for it is "partial 16S ribosomal RNA". It matches the Rfam family "Bacterial small subunit ribosomal RNA", at positions 524 to 776 of the family's 1533-position model. The record is from RNAcentral.
UACGUAGGUGGCAAGCGUUGUCCGGAUUUAUUGGGUUUAAAGGGUGCGUAGGCGGUCUUAUAAGUCAGUGCUGAAAUAUCCCGGCUUAACCGGGAGGGUGGCAUUGAUACUGCAAGACUUGGGUAGAGUUGAGGUUGGCGGAAUUGACGGUGUAGCGGUGAAAUGCUUAGAUAUCGUCAAGAACACCGAUAGUGAAGACAGCUAACUAAGCUCUAACUGACGCUGAGGCACGAAAGUGUGGGGAUCAAACAGG